CCGCCCCUCCGGGUGCACUUCCGGCGGCUGCGAGGAGUCGGGCAGUUGCUGCGCGCGCUCUUCCGCUCUCCGCGCUGGACUCCGGGCCGGAACCCGCCCCGGGAAGCAGGAAGCGCCCGGUGGCUGGCGCGGGGUGGUCAGGAUGGCGGGGUCCAGCUGGGGUCCCCCGCGGCUGGAUGGCUUCAUUCUCACCGAGCGCCUGGGCAGUGGCACGUACGCCACGGUGUACAAGGCCUACGCCAAGAAGGACACUCGAGAGGUGGUAGCCAUAAAAUGUGUGGCCAAGAAGAGCCUGAACAAGGCAUCCGUGGAAAACCUCCUGACAGAGAUUGAAAUCCUCAAGGGCAUUCGACACCCCCACAUCGUCCAGCUGAAAGACUUCCAGUGGGACAGUGACAACAUCUACCUCAUCAUGGAGUUCUGUGCAGGAGGUGACCUGUCUCGCUUCAUCCAUACCCGCCGGAUUCUGCCUGAGAAGGUGGCUCGUGUCUUCAUGCAGCAGAUAGCUAGUGCCCUGCAGUUUCUGCACGCACGAAACAUAUCUCACCUGGAUCUGAAGCCACAGAACAUUCUGCUGAGCUCCUUGGAGAAGCCCCACCUUAAACUGGCAGACUUCGGCUUCUCACAGCACAUGUCCCCGUGGGACGAGAAGCAUGUGCUCCGCGGCUCCCCUCUCUACAUGGCCCCCGAGAUGGUGUGUCAGCGGCAGUACGAUGCCCGUGUGGACCUCUGGUCCGUGGGGGUCAUUCUGUAUGAAGCCCUCUUCGGGCAGCCCCCCUUUGCCUCCAGGUCGUUCACAGAGCUGGAAGAGAAGAUCCGGAGUAAUCGGGUUAUCGAGCUUCCCCUUCGGCCCCAGCUCUCCCCAGACUGCCAGGACCUGCUGCGGCGGCUCCUAGAGCGGGACCCUGGUCGUCGCAUCUCCUUCCAGGACUUCUUUGCCCACCCCUGGGUGGACCUGGACCACAUGCCCAGUGAGGAGAGCCUGGCACGAGCAACCAUCCUGGUGGUGCAGGCUGUGAAGAAGGACCAGGAGGGGGAUGCUGCGGCUGCCUUAUCGCUCUACUGCAAGGCUCUGGACUUCUUUGUGCCUGCCCUGCACUGGUCCUCAUAUAAACCACCACUGUUUGCAGACGAAGUGGAUGCACAGCGGAAGGAGGCAAUUAAGGCAAAGGUGCGACAGUACGUGUCCCGGGCUGAGGAGCUCAAGGCCAUUGUGUCCUCCUCCAAUCAGGCCCUGCUGAGACAGGGGGCCUCUGCCCAAGACCUGCUCAGAGAGAUGGCUCGGGACAAGCCACGCCUCCUGGCUGCUCUGGAAGUGGCUUCAGCUGCUGUGGCCAAGGAGGAGGAAGCUGGUGGGGAGCAGGACGCCCUGGACCUGUACCAGCACAGCCUGGGGGAGCUGCUGCUGCUGCUGGCAGGGGAGCCCCCAGGCCGGAGGCGGGAACUGCUUCACACUGAGGUUCAGAACCUCAUGGCUCGAGCUGAAUACCUGAAAGAGCAAGUCAAGUUGCCCUGGGACUGUUGAUGCGGCUCCUUUGCCUGCCCCUGGCUGCCUGUCACCUCGGUGCCACCUUUUUGUCCCACAGAUGAGGGAGUCUCGCUGGGAAGCCGAGACCUUGGACAAGGAGGGGCUGUUGGAGUCUGUCCGGACCUCUUGCACCCUGCAGUGACCACAGAAAGAUGACUGCACAGACCAUGGGCCACCUGAAGUUGGGGGACACACCUAGGCUGCUGCCCAGAAUUCUGUGGCCCUCUGCAGCCUGGCGGGGUAGCCUUCCUGGAUGGGCAACCCUGUGAGCACUGCGUCCCAGGGUCCCUAACACCCUCAGGAUGCCCUCCACCCCACAAAGGCUCUGAUGGCCCAGCCCUUUAUGGGCUGGGAGCACUGGGUCUGGCCCCAGGGGAGGGAGCAGGCCUCUGGGAGAAGUGUCUCAUGUGACUGUGGUUAACUGGUGACUGCUGGACCCUGAGCCUGUCAUUUUAGGGCAUGAAGGCUCAGAUGUAGCCUGUGCCCACCCCUUUCCUUCCUGGGAGCCCUUAUUUCAACUCGCCUCUGUCCUCGCAGUGGACCAGGGCGCUCAGGGACCACCCCCCCAUGGUCUGCACUCAGCCCCACAGAACACCAGUCAUCUUGGAAGCUGAUGUCUGUCCACCCUGUCUCAGUAUUUUAAGUUAAUCCUGCAAGCCAUGAAAAGAAUAUAUUUUGAAGGAUGGGGCAAAUUGAAGAAACUCAUGCCUGUUCCUGCCCUGCCCCAGAGGGUCUGCGGGGAGGUCCUUCAUCCUCACCCCUCCAGCCUUCAUCUCCCUUUAGGGAGCACCCCUUGUUUUCUGCAGAGCUGGUCCUGGACUGGAACAGGGAGGCAUGGGGCCUGCCCGACUCCUCAGGUUUUGGAGACCCACUAGCCCAGGAGACAUUUCAGGGCUGACAUGGCUGCCACCCCGCCUGUGCCCUGGGCAAGCACCUUUCCUUUUCUGGGCCUGGGUCUUCCCAGCUCCAUUGGUGUUGCUGUUAUCUCCUAACCCCCUCCCCCCAUGUGGGCUUUUGGGAGUACCAAGUGACUUCCAUCUGGAGAACAAUGUAUAUACCUGGGGUUACUUGGGGACUUGUUUUUAAAACUCUGGCUGUUGGUGAUUUCUAACCUUUCCACCCUUCAGUGCCUCCUGGGGCAAGGGUCGUCUUUUCUGCUCUAUCAGAGGCCAGUAUGAAGUGUAUCAUUUAUUGUUUCCUUAUUAAAUUAUUUUUUGAA
Molecule: RNA transcript, 2747 nt
Organism: Myotis lucifugus (little brown bat)
Lineage: Eukaryota; Metazoa; Chordata; Mammalia; Chiroptera; Vespertilionidae
Gene: ULK3
Gene name: unc-51 like kinase 3
Exons: 16
Source: RefSeq, a predicted model, not a curated record